RNA transcript from Apis dorsata (giant honeybee), 1642 nucleotides. It is a transcript of the gene named pre-mRNA-splicing factor CWC25 homolog, with no coding region annotated. The record is from RefSeq and is a predicted model, not a curated record. The transcript has 6 exons. Lineage: Eukaryota; Metazoa; Arthropoda; Insecta; Hymenoptera; Apidae.
AUCAAUUUAAAUAUAAUUAUAAUAAUAUAUUUCAUCUUAUAUCUUAUUUUCGAUUAAAAAUGGGUGGAGGAGAUUUGAAUUUAAAAAAAUCAUGGCAUCCAUCUACUAUGAAAAACAUAGAAAAAGUUUGGAAAGCAGAACAACAACAAUGUCAAGAAAAGAAAAAAAUAGCUGAAUUAAAAAAAGAAAUAGAAAUAGAAAAAGAUCGAGAAGAUAUAAAAAAAUAUGCAAUGGAACAAGGUGUGAUUGAAAAAAAAGAUGACAAAAAAUUGGAUUGGAUGUAUAAAGGACCAAAUCAUUUAAUUAAUANNNAAGAAUAUUUACUUGGACGACCAAUUGAUAAAUCUUUUGAACAAAUGGUUCAAGUAGAAAAGGGUACUGAAUUAAAUCAAGUACCAAGAAAUCAUGUUGAACAUGAAUGUAUUCCACCGUCAUUACGUUUUUUUUCUGGUAAUGAACAAGUGGAUUUAGUAAGAAAAAUGCAAGAAGAUCCUUUAUAUGCUAUUAAAAAAAAAGAAAUGGAAACAAGAAAUCAAUUAUUAAAAAAUCCUGUUAAAUUAAAACAAUUAAGACAAUUGUUGGAACAGCAAACAAAAAAGGAUAAAAGUGAAAAGAAAAAGAAGAAAAAAAGAAAUAAACAAGAUAUAGAUAGUGAUGAUGAAGCACAAUUAGAUCUAUUAUUGGCUACUAAAUAUAAACAAUUAAAAGAAAAAAUUAAUAAUAAAGAUUUAAUAAAAUCAAUGAAAAAGGUAAAACAUAAACAAAACAAAAAUUUAAAAGAAGAGAAUGAUAAUUUAAGUAGCAGAUCAGAAAGUAGUGAAAAAAGUGAAAAUAAUAAACAUAUAAAAAAAUAUAAAAAAAAAAGAAAUAAAAGUAAAGAGAUAAAUGUUCAAAUUACAAAAUAUAAUAAGGAAAAACAAUCUAUAUAUGAUAAAAAAGAAAAAGAAUAUAAAUUACAUGAAAAAUAUAUUAGGACUCGUAGUUUAAGCAGAGAAAGUGAUAAUAGUUCAAUUCAAGAAAGAAAAGAUAAAUUAUAUAAAAAAGACAUAACUAAACAUAAAGACAAAAAAAUUCGUUUAAAAAGUCCUCAAGAUAGAAAAAAUAAUUUUUUUAAGAAUAAAUAUAAUAAUAAAAAUAAUAUUGAGGAUAAAGAUAAAAAUAUUUCAAAGAAAUUACAUCAAAAAGAAACAUAUUUUAAAUUAUCUUCUGAUGGAACUAAAAAGUAUUACAAAGAAGACAGAAAUAGAGAUAAAUGGAAUUUUAAGAAGAAACAAAAUCUUACAGAAGAAGAAAAAGAACAACGUAGGCAAGAAAUGAUAGCAAAUGCAACAUGGAGAGAUAAAGAAAGAGAACAAAAUGUUAAAAAAUAUCGCGAAGAAGAAAAAAAAGAAAUAGAUAAUAGAAAAGUAUAUAAUCAAGAUUUUCUUAGAAAACAAUUAGCAGUUGCUGCAGAUAUAGGUACAGUUGCCUCUAGAAUUAAAGCUAAUAUAAAUAAUAUACAGCGAUCUGGAGGAGCUAUGGAUAUAAAUUUCGCUAGAAGGUGAUUUUAAAUGAUCUAAAUUUAUACAAUUAUGUAAAUUUCAUCAAAUUAUUUCUAGAAUUAUAAAUGUAAUCUAUAAAAAUAUAUAUAUCUUUUAAUAUA